GUGCUCAAUUCCACAGCACAUGUACUAAGAUUGGAAUAAUACAGAGGAGAUUAGCGUGGGCCCUGUGUAAGGAUGACACGCAAAUUCGUGAAGUGUUCCUUAUUUUA
Otolemur garnettii (small-eared galago) is the source of this 107-nucleotide small nuclear RNA. The record is from Ensembl. NCBI's taxonomy places the organism in Eukaryota, Metazoa, Chordata, Mammalia, Primates, Galagidae.